UAUGUACUUUUAAUGACAUCCUGCAACCC
RNAcentral lists this small RNA (29 nucleotides) under Bombyx mori (domestic silkworm). Its description in RNAcentral is "ovarian small RNA-23997". The record is from RNAcentral. Lineage: Eukaryota; Metazoa; Arthropoda; Insecta; Lepidoptera; Bombycidae.